AGAAUCAACGCUGGCGGCGUGUCUAACACAUGCAAGUCGAACGCGAAAGGGACUUCGGUCCUGAGUAGAGUGGCGAGCGGGUGAGUAACGCGUGGGUGACCUACCCUCGAGUGGGGGAUAACGUUCCGAAAGGGACGCUAAUACCGCAUGACAUUCCGGGUUUGAAGACCUGGAAAUCAAAGCCGGGGACCGCAAGGCCUGGCGCUAGAGGAGGGGCCCGCGUCUGAUUAGCUAGUUGGCGGGGUAAUGGCCCACCAAGGCGACGAUCAGU
This 271-nucleotide ribosomal RNA is filed under the name uncultured soil bacterium. RNAcentral describes it as "partial 16S ribosomal RNA". It matches the Rfam family "Bacterial small subunit ribosomal RNA", at positions 26 to 284 of the family's 1533-position model. The record is from RNAcentral.